This 251-nucleotide ribosomal RNA is filed under the name uncultured bacterium. RNAcentral's name for it is "partial 16S ribosomal RNA". It matches the Rfam family "Bacterial small subunit ribosomal RNA", at positions 524 to 774 of the family's 1533-position model. The record is from RNAcentral.
UACGUAGGAGGCAAGCGUUAUCCGGAAUGACUGGGCGUAAAGGGUGCGUAGGUGGUUUGGCAAGUUAGUAGCGUAACUCCGGGGCUCAACUCCGGAACUACUACUAAAACUGUCGGACUUGAGUGCAGGAGGGGCAAUUGGAAUUCCUAGUGUAGCGGUGGAAUGCGUAGAUAUUAGGAAGAACACCAGUGGCGAAGGCGAAUUGCUGGACUGUAACUGACACUGAGGCACGAAAGCGUGGGGAGCAAACA